This 588-nucleotide ribosomal RNA is filed under the name uncultured bacterium. RNAcentral describes it as "bacterial SSU rRNA". It matches the Rfam family "Bacterial small subunit ribosomal RNA", at positions 55 to 636 of the family's 1533-position model. The record is from RNAcentral.
AUGCAAGUCGAGGGGUAACGGAAGUAGCUUGCUACUAGACGACGACCGGCGCACGGGUGAGUAACGCGUAUGUAAUCUGCCUUGUACAGAGGGAUAGCCCAGAGAAAUUUGGAUUAAUACCUCAUAGUAUUACCGAAUCGCAUGAUUUGGUAAUUAAAGCUCCGGCGGUACAAGAUGAACAUGCGUGACAUUAGCUAGUUGGUAAGGUAACGGCUUACCAAGGCCACGAUGUCUAGGGGUUCUGAGAGGAUGAUCCCCCACACUGGUACUGAGACACGGACCAGACUCCUACGGGAGGCAGCAGUGAGGAAUAUUGGUCAAUGGACGCAAGUCUGAACCAGCCAUCCCGCGUGAAGGAUGACUGCCCUAUGGGUUGUAAACUUCUUUUAUAUGCAAAUAAACCUACUUUCGUGAAAGUAGCUGAAGGUAGCAUAUGAAUAAACACCGGCUAACUCCGUGCCAGCAGCCGCGGUAAUACGGAGGGUGUAAGCGUUAUCCGGAUUUAUUGGGUUUAAAGGGUACGUAGGCGGUAAUAUAAGUCAGUGGUGAAAUCCUGCAGCUCAACUGUAGAACUGCCAUUGAAACUGU